GCGUUCACGCAUUUUUAAUAUUGGAACGAUACAGAGAAGAUUAGCAUGGCCCCUGCGCAAGGAUGACACGCAUAUCUCGAGAAAAGGUUCCUUAAUAAUA
RNAcentral lists this small nuclear RNA (100 nucleotides) under Amorphochlora amoebiformis. Lineage: Eukaryota; Cercozoa; Chlorarachniophyceae. The record is from RNAcentral.